UACGUAGGGUGCAAGCGUUGUCCGGAAUUAUUGGGCGUAAAGAGCUCGUAGGCGGUUUGUCGCGUCUGCUGUGAAAACUCGGGGCUUAACUCCGGGCCUGCAGUGGGUACGGGCAGACUAGAGUGCGGUAGGGGAGACUGGAAUUCUUGGUGUAGCGGUGAAAUGCGUAGAUAUCAAGAGGAACACCUGCGGCGAAGGCGGGUUGCUGGGCCGACACUGACGCUGAUGCGCGAAAGCUAGGGGAGCGAACGGG
RNAcentral lists this ribosomal RNA (253 nucleotides) under uncultured bacterium. Its description in RNAcentral is "partial 16S ribosomal RNA". It matches the Rfam family "Bacterial small subunit ribosomal RNA", at positions 524 to 776 of the family's 1533-position model. The record is from RNAcentral.